This 71-nucleotide transfer RNA is filed under the name Loxodonta africana (African savanna elephant). It matches the Rfam family "tRNA". From Rfam's summary of the family: Transfer RNA (tRNA) molecules are approximately 80 nucleotides in length. Their secondary structure includes four short double-helical elements and three loops (D, anti-codon, and T loops). Lineage: Eukaryota; Metazoa; Chordata; Mammalia; Proboscidea; Elephantidae. The record is from Rfam by way of RNAcentral.
GCAGUGGUGGCUCAGUGGUAGAGUUCUCGCCUUCCAUACAGGAGACCCAGGUUCAAUUCCCAGCCAGUGCA